This 71-nucleotide transfer RNA is filed under the name bovine gut metagenome. It matches the Rfam family "tRNA". From Rfam's summary of the family: Transfer RNA (tRNA) molecules are approximately 80 nucleotides in length. Their secondary structure includes four short double-helical elements and three loops (D, anti-codon, and T loops). The record is from RNAcentral.
GAGCGUAGCUCAGCUGGUUAGAGCACCUGCCUUACAAGCAGGGGGUCACUGGUUCGAGUCCAGUCGUUCCC